Molecule: ribosomal RNA, 451 nt
Filed under: uncultured bacterium
Lineage: Bacteria
Description: partial 16S ribosomal RNA
Rfam family: Bacterial small subunit ribosomal RNA
Source: RNAcentral
AACGAACGCUGGCGGCAGGCCUAACACAUGCAAGUCGAACGCUCGUAGCAAUACGGGAGUGGCAGACGGGUGAGUAACGCGUGGGAACGUACCCUUUGGUUCGGAACAACUCCGGGAAACUGGAGCUAAUACCGGAUGAGCCCUACGGGGGAAAGAUUUAUCGCCGAAGGAUCGGCCCGCGUCGGAUUAGCUAGUUGGUGAGGUAACGGCUCACCAAGGCGACGAUCCGUAGCUGGUCUGAGAGGAUGAUCAGCCACACUGGGACUGAGACACGGCCCAGACUCCUACGGGAGGCAGCAGUGGGGAAUAUUGGACAAUGGGCGCAAGCCUGAUCCAGCCAUGCCGCGUGAGUGAUGAAGGCCUUAGGGUUGUAAAGCUCUUUCGCCAGGGACGAUAAUGACGGUACCUGGAUAAGAAGCCCCGGCUAACUUCGUGCCAGCCGCCGCAGUAA